UGCUGUUGACAGAAAAUCCAACUCAGACUGGCUUGACAACAACAAAAAGACAGAGAAAUGUUCAGAAGAGCUGUUAGGAAGGUUAAGUUGGGAGGGGAGGGAAUAGAUGCUAGAAAGCAUGAACACGUGAUGGAUGCCCCCUCCAUCCAUGAAUGACAGCUGACAUUGAUAGAGCCCAUGCUGGUUCAUGAACCAUUUGUUAUUUUCCAGGAUGAGAUGAAAAGAGUAAUUGAGAUAUUAUGAGCAUCCUGAUUUAUCUGGAGAUGCUUCCAAACACUAACAGCAGGAGAAUGGAGAGUCCAGGAAAAGAGAAGGAGAGCAAGAGGAACAAGGGACACUGAGGAGAAGGAGGAAGAGGAGGAGAAAGGAAAAAAGAAAAGGAAAGAAGAAGAAUGAGGAAAGAAAGACAAA
This 411-nucleotide long non-coding RNA is filed under the name Homo sapiens (human). Its description in RNAcentral is "HSALNT0195851". The record is from RNAcentral. Lineage: Eukaryota; Metazoa; Chordata; Mammalia; Primates; Hominidae.